CCAGACUUCAUUUAAGGCUUGGCCGUGGAGAUGAGGGUAUCUCUCUGGAGCUCCCUGUGUACCUGAGAUCUUCUAAAGUUUUCUUCUUGAACAACCAGAGCAGAGCAGCUUCUGUGUUCACCAUGGGCUGUGCAUUCCUGCUAAAAAUGAAAUAGCAAUGACUUCUGGAUAAAAAGCAGAGCCUGGGAUUUCCAACUUUCCAUUCCUCCCAUCAAAGCAGGGAUUACAGUGAGAAGGACAAUCUGGAAUUCGUUUGUUGCCUCGCCAACAAACACCUGUACAUUUUCCAUUCUUCCCAUCCUCUUGACACUCUCAGGCUUGCGGUGGGCUGCAGGAUAAAGCAGGCUUGUAUCUGAAAACAAAACAACUUUCCUGAACAGAAGGUUUUGGAGAGAACCCAUCUGGAGUGAAUUCCAUGCUUCUUCCCAGGCACUAGAAAAGUGUGCAAGUUUUCUGAGCUGGAGCAGAAGGAUUAUCUAUAGCACUGCAAUCCAACUCAAUUGGAAAUCCAACUGACAGUUGGAAAAUAUAUGAAACGUCCUUCCUUAUACAUGAGAAAAGAUGGGUAGAGGUUUUUCUCCUUUCUUCUUUUUGGUUAUUAACAAUGUAACUCUUUCAGAGUAAUAGAUUAACUCAGAAAGGACUGCUAGUGUGUGACCAAGGCUGCAAUGAGAGGAAAUGU
Molecule: long non-coding RNA, 682 nt
Organism: Tympanuchus pallidicinctus (lesser prairie-chicken)
Lineage: Eukaryota; Metazoa; Chordata; Aves; Galliformes; Phasianidae
Exons: 2
Source: RefSeq, a predicted model, not a curated record